UGCGUAGGCGGACUAAUAAGUCAGUGGUGAAAUCUUUCGGCUCAACCGAGAAACUGCCAUUGAUACUGUUAGUCUUGAGUUCGGUUGAGGUAGGCGGAAUGUGUAAUGUAGCGGUGAAAUGCUUAGAUAUUACACAGAACACCGAUUGCGUAGGCAGCUUACUAGACCGACACUGACGCUGAGGCACGAAAGCGUGGGGAGCGAACAGGAUUAGAUACCCUGGUAGUCC
This 229-nucleotide ribosomal RNA is filed under the name uncultured bacterium. RNAcentral describes it as "partial 16S ribosomal RNA". It matches the Rfam family "Bacterial small subunit ribosomal RNA", at positions 568 to 796 of the family's 1533-position model. The record is from RNAcentral.